GUUUGUGGAACUCUAAAAUAUUUAUAAUCAUCUUUCAAGUAGCAUAAAAAGUGGUGUAGUGGUUGAUCUUGAUGGUACCCGCUUAGUAAAAGACAGCAAAUACUAUGGCCAAUGUGCUUUCAUUGAAUGAAGUGAUGCUUUUGAAAAGAACUUCAAUAUUAGGUGUAUGUUGAGACCAUAUAAAUAUAUGUUACUUAAAGGGAGAUACAAACUUUUGUUGAGCUCAAAUAAGUUGAUUUGGUUUUAGGUGAAGACACCUCCUCGGAAAUGUGUACUUUCUGAAGUUUGAGGAGCUAACUAAGGAACCGAACAAUUGAAAAGGUUUCCUACCUGCUAU
RNAcentral lists this long non-coding RNA (337 nucleotides) under Citrus sinensis (sweet orange). Its description in RNAcentral is "long non-coding RNA (CSIN_LNC005231)". The record is from RNAcentral. Lineage: Eukaryota; Viridiplantae; Streptophyta; Magnoliopsida; Sapindales; Rutaceae.